Clostridium botulinum D str. 1873 is the source of this 135-nucleotide non-coding RNA. The record is from Rfam. Lineage: Bacteria; Bacillati; Bacillota; Clostridia; Eubacteriales; Clostridiaceae.
AUUAGAUAAGAUAAUACUCCGCAGACAGUAGGUGCGAAAGCAUAACGGGGAACCAACCUACCGAGGAUUUAAAUAUUCGGUAUUUUGGAUAUAUUAAGCCUCUUCGUGUCUGGAAGAGGCUUUUAGUUUUUGUUA